UAUCGAUAAAGGCACAGCUAUUGAAAGAUAGUGUCGCAAAGCUAUGGGUCUAAGGAAUAACUUAUUCUAUGAUUGCCAGGUUGCCAAA
RNAcentral lists this non-coding RNA (88 nucleotides) under Natronincola peptidivorans. RNAcentral's name for it is "Natronincola peptidovorans c-di-GMP-I riboswitch aptamer". It matches the Rfam family "c-di-GMP-I riboswitch aptamer". Rfam says of the family: GEMM was predicted in a large-scale screen for bacterial structured RNA regulatory elements. The record is from Rfam by way of RNAcentral. Lineage: Bacteria; Bacillati; Bacillota; Clostridia; Peptostreptococcales; Natronincolaceae.